AGGUGGAAGUGUGGUGACACAUGGAGCUGACGAAUACUAAUCGGUCGAGGACUUAACCACAUUU
This 64-nucleotide ribosomal RNA is filed under the name Lysinibacillus sp. S2017. Its description in RNAcentral is "partial 23S ribosomal RNA". The record is from RNAcentral. Lineage: Bacteria; Bacillati; Bacillota; Bacilli; Caryophanales; Bacillaceae.